UAGGGAAUCUUCCGCAAUGGACGCAAGUCUGACGGAGCAACGCCGCGUGAGUGAAGAAGGAUUUCGGUUCGUAAAACUCUGUUGUUAGAGAAGAACAGCGCAUAGAGUAACUGUUAUGCGUGUGACGGUAUCUAACCAGAAAGCCACGGCUAACUACGUGCCAGCAGCCGCGGUAAUACGUAGGUGGCAAGCGUUAUCCGGAAUUAUUGGGCGUAAAGCGCGCGUAGGCGGUUUUUUAAGUCUGAAGUGAAAGCCCACGGCUCAACCGUGGAGGGUCAUUGGAAACUGGAAAACUUGAGUGCAGAAGAGGAAAGUGGAAUUCCAUGUGUAGCGGUGAAAUGCGCAGAGAUAUGGAGGAACACCAGUGGCGAAGGCGACUUUCUGGUCUGUAACUGACGCUGAUGUGCGAAAGCGUGGGGAUCAAACAGG
This 429-nucleotide ribosomal RNA is filed under the name Bacteroidota bacterium. RNAcentral's name for it is "Bacteroidetes bacterium partial 16S ribosomal RNA". It matches the Rfam family "Bacterial small subunit ribosomal RNA", at positions 355 to 776 of the family's 1533-position model. The record is from RNAcentral. Lineage: Bacteria; Pseudomonadati; Bacteroidota.